This 1504-nucleotide ribosomal RNA is filed under the name mouse gut metagenome. RNAcentral's name for it is "bacterial LSU rRNA". It matches the Rfam family "Bacterial large subunit ribosomal RNA", at positions 1093 to 2615 of the family's 2925-position model. The record is from RNAcentral.
CUAGGAGGUUGGCUUAGAAGCAGCCAUCCUUUAAAGAGUGCGUAAUAGCUCACUAGUCGAGUGACUCUGCGCCGAAAAUGUACCGGGGCUAAACGGACCGCCGAAGCUGCGGAUUGACACGAAGUGUCAGUGGUAGGAGAGCGUUCUAACAGCGGAGAAGCAGUACCGGAAGGAGCUGUGGAGCGGUUAGAAGUGAGAAUGCCGGUGUGAGUAGCGAAAGAUAGGUGAGAAUCCUAUCCAUCGAAAGCCUAAGGUUUCCAGGGGAAGGCUCGUCCGCCCUGGGUAAGUCGGGACCUAAGGUGAGGCCGAAAGGCGUAGCCGAUGGACAACAGGUAGAGAUUCCUGUACCACUUAAUAAACUGAAGGAGUGACGGAGAAGGCUAAGUUGAGCGUGUGAAUGGAUUCACGUGUAAGCAGUGAGGUGGUCAUGUAGGCAAAUCCGCAUGGCGAAACAUUGAGCUGUGAUGCCGAAAGCCCGAAAGGGUGAAGUCAGCUGAUGUCACGCUUCCAAGAAAAGCUUCUAGGGAUAAUUUAUUAGGUGCCCGUACCGAUAACCGACACAGGUAGGCGAGGAGAGAAUCCUAAGAUGAGCGAGAGAACUCUUGUUAAGGAACUCGGCAAAAUGACCCCGUAACUUCGGGAGAAGGGGUGCUUGUGAAAGCAAGCCGCAGUGAAAAGGCCCAGGCGACUGUUUAUCAAAAACACAGGUCUCUGCUAAACCGCAAGGUGAUGUAUAGGGGCUGACGCCUGCCCGGUGCUGGAAGGUUAAGAGGAGAGGUUAGCGCAAGCGAAGCUUUGAAUUGAAGCCCCAGUAAACGGCGGCCGUAACUAUAACGGUCCUAAGGUAGCGAAAUUCCUUGUCGGGUAAGUUCCGACCCGCACGAAAGGCGUAACGAUCUGGGCGCUGUCUCAACAAGAGACUCGGUGAAAUCAUAGUACCUGUGAAGAUGCAGGUUACCCGCGACAGGACGGAAAGACCCCGUGGAGCUUUACUGUAGCUUGAUAUUGAGCACUGGUGACACAUGUACAGGAUAGGUAGGAGACGAAGAGACCAGGACGCCAGUCUUGGAGGAGUCGCUGUUGGGAUACUACCCUUGUGUUACUGGGGUUCUAACCCGUGGCCAUGAGCUGGUCAGGGGACAGUGUCAGGUGGGCAGUUUGACUGGGGCGGUCGCCUCCCAAAGAGUAACGGAGGCGCCCAAAGGUUCCCUCAGAAUGGUUGGAAAUCAUUCGAAGAGUGUAAAGGCAGAAGGGAGCUUGACUGCGAGACCAACAAGUCGAGCAGGGACGAAAGUCGGGCUUAGUGAUCCGGCGGUACCGAAUGGAAGGGCCGUCGCUCAACGGAUAAAAGCUACCCCGGGGAUAACAGGCUGAUCUCCCCCAAGAGUUCACAUCGACGGGGAGGUUUGGCACCUCGAUGUCGGCUCAUCGCAUCCUGGGGCUGUAGUCGGUCCCAAGGGUUGGGCUGUUCGCCCAUUAAAGCGGUACGCGAGCUGGGUUCAGA